CACCGGGCUGCACUGAGGCCUCUGUGCCUGUCUCUGAUGCCAGAGUUGCCAUGAAGCCUAGGAAGGCAAUGCAAGAAAGAAAGGCCUUGCCUUCUCCUCCAUGACCCUUCCAGUGCUCCUCCCUCGGGCAGUCUGAGCCUUCCAGAGCAACCUGGGGAGCCCCGGCUCCCCACAGAGCCCCGACACCACUCAGCCCUGCAGAGAUGCAGGGUCCCACAGCAGCCCAUGAAGCCACCACCAUGUGCCCACAGCCAGGGCCCCACAGGGUCCCUGCGUGUCCCCGGCUCCCUGAAAUGGCCACAGCUCCCGGCAGCAGGGAGAGGAGGGACCCGGGAAGCCUCAGCUGCAGGGGACCCAAGCACGGCUCAGGCUGGGACUGUGAGCCAGGCUGGCUCCUCACCGGCAGCCCCGCAGGAGCAGGACCUGCAGCUCCAGCUCUGCUCUCCAGCAGAGCCAUAGCUCGGUGCAGGGCUCAGGGCAGGAGACAGGAGGGAAUAAGUCUCCAGUUUGUUCCUAACUUAGCUGCCUGCCACAGGAUGGGUGUGUGGGGGACCUGCGAGCCCUCACUCUGCACCAGGAGAUGCAUGGCCAGAGCCUCUGUGGCUCCACACAGCCGACAGUCAGGGUGUGAAAGAACUGAUGGCAGGACACAGCCAGGAGCCAGAGCAGAGCCAGGCUCUGACCAUCCCUAGGCGAGCAAAAACACCCCUAUUCCAAAUCCUCUGGUGCCUUGGGAGCUCCCUCCAGCACUGCCUGUCCCACAAGCCCUGCAGCAACCUCAGCAGCCAGGAAACGCUGGCAGGAGUGAAAGGGAUUGAGAAACUGCAGGCAGCAGGAUGAGACAUGAGCCAGCACAAGCAGGAUGUGACUCGGGGGUGACUGGGACUGCCGGAGCGGUGUCACCAGGAAUCAGUACCUGGGGCCCAUCCUGUACCCUCCCAUGCUCCUCACAGCUAAGCCCAAGCCCAACCUCUGUUCCCCACACAAAUCACCAGGUCCCAUUUGUAUUUCACCACCUAAAUCCUCUGUUAACAGCACGGUGAUGUUUUCUCCCUCUAUCCACCCCAGGCUUUUACACUCCCAACCUGCCCAAGGCUGUUGCCCAGGGCUAUCCCUGUCACCACAGUGCCCCAGCCCCCUCACCCCAUCUGCAGGGCACAGCUGAUAUUUCCCAAGAUUUUUUCAGCACAGACUGGAUGGCAGCAGUUUGGGGUGAAGGGGAGCUCAGACACUGGCUAGACUUCCCCCUUGUCCUGCCUCAAACCAGCUGUUGUAGUGCUGCAGGAAAGGAGAAAGGAGAUGAUGAUUGAGGAGAAGCAGGGAAGAAAAAACACAGGAUUUUUUUUUUUUUUUCCCUACUAAACACCCAAAGCUUUGUUUAUCCACCAGCCCCUCAAGCUGAGGCUGGCUGAUUCCAAGGUGGCCCCUUCCAUGGUGCUGUCUUCCCUGUAGCUCCCAUCUCCUAUUCCCUCAGUCCCUCCCCUGCGUGGGCCAUGAUCCCUGGUGGGGUGUCCAGCUCACCCUCACAUUUCACAGCUCCAGCAUGGCUAAGGAAAGCCAACUUAGCUGGCAUUCCUGCAGAAUUACCUGUUCUUCCAGCCAAGGAGCUCAGCUGAAUUCCCCUACCUGCAUCCGGGCUCACCAGCCUUCCCUUCAUGUGGGAAAUUAUUUACCUUGGGUGAGGAAAAACAGAGCAAAAGUGGAUUUAACAGCUGUUAAAUCCAGUAAAGCCCAAAGCUUCUUCUGCUUCAGCUGCUUCCUUGCUAUGGGGGAGGAGAGCAGGGAGAUGUCAGCCUGCCGUGGACACCCAGGACAUCCAAGGACACUCAGGACACCCAAGCCUCGGGUAGAUAAGGUCAUCCCACAUUCCUACAGAAAAACACCAUGAUAAAAACCCUAUUGCACUAACAGCUCCAACACUAGACAACAAAAUCUCAGGGGGGUAAGAUGUUGCACCUCUUCUUUUCCAUCUCUCCCACAGGCAGGGCACAAGGACAUCUUCCCAGGGGAGAGAAAAUUCCAAAGCUUGGGAUGGAGAAACAGCACUGCAGGAGUGCAGUUAAGGCUGGAUGCCAGGAUAUCCUUCUGGGACACACCUCUGGACUCAGGAGGAUGCAGGAGCAAACCAACACAUCACAGCAAUGCCCCAAAACUCAGCUGCUCCCUGGGUAGCACACUGUCUCCAAGGUGGGCCAAAACCUUAUCCUCCAUCCCUGAUCCAGGAGUGUCCCCAUUGUCUUUCCAUGGCCAGCUCCAACCCUGGCAGGGAGGCACCAGCUGGGAGGCUGUGAUGGGGACUUGCACUGUGCUCUACUCUCUUGGUCACUGUCAUCUUUCCAGGAGCUGAGGAGGAAUUUCUUUGUUUGAUUUUGAGGGAAUAGUAAAUUCACAAACAAUCAGAAGAUUCAAAAAGGCUGAAUCAUCCUGAAACUCAGGGUGAAAUUGAAAAAGUCUUUGGAAUGAAAAAAAGUAAUACCAGUGCCAGGCAAAGGAGAUGGCUUUGAAGAUGUAAACCACCUUCUCCCAUCAGUCACCUGAUGAUCUGUUGUAUUCUGGCAUUUUCUAAAAGAAUCUUCUUGAUUUCUUCAUUUUAAAAAAGCCUAUUUUUUUCAAUUCAAAAAUUGUCUCAAUGUAAAAGAAAAUAUCUAAGUAAAUUAGGCAAAUCCCAAACAGAAAAAACCAAAACCAUUUCAGGCUAAACCAAACAUUCUGGCUUUACCUAAAACAAUUGCUUACACCAGGAUGGGGUGGUUUCUUUUCUUUCGCAUUUUACCAGAAAUUGCCUACUAAAUCCUUGUUUUGAGUUGGCAUGGUCCAAUUCCCACACCAAAGACAUUCCAUUUGGGCACCAAGCAACACUUUCCAUUCAUUUUUCCAGCAACAUGGUUCUCCACCAAUGGACCAGACCCACUGCAGUAGAUGAACCCUUUGGUUCUCCUUCCUUACAGACCUCAGAGCCUGCCCUGUGCACCCUGCCCAGGACCCUCAAGGAACCUCCUCUGGAGAGGGGAACACUCUCUCUUCUCAGGAGAUCUGAUUUCCAACCCAGCCCAACCCGAUUUAACUCAACCCAACCCUAUGCUACCCAUCCUUCUUGUUGCCACCACCCAUACCCCCAGCCUCCAAGCCUGCCAACCUGGACUAGGUGGCAUCAUAUCCAACCCAAGCUCACCACGCAGCCAUGGCCCCAAGAAAAGGAAUUUACUAGCCAAAAAAAGCACAAAAAACCAAAAAAAAAAAAACC
Molecule: long non-coding RNA, 3244 nt
Filed under: Taeniopygia guttata (zebra finch)
Lineage: Eukaryota; Metazoa; Chordata; Aves; Passeriformes; Estrildidae
Description: lncRNA (ENSTGUG00000025419.1)
Source: RNAcentral